CCCUGGGUCAGCAAGAUCCCCUGGAGGAGGGCAUGGUGCUGUGCUCUGCUUAGUCGCUCAGUGGUGUCCGACUCUUUGCGACCCUACAGCCCAGGAGGCCCCUUGUCCAUGAGGAUUCUCCAGGUAAGAAUACUGGAAUGGGUUACCAUACCCUCCUCCAGGGGAUCUUCCCAAUCCAGGGAUCGAACCUAGGUCUCCCGCAUUGCAGGAGGAUUCUUUACUUUCUGAGCCACCGAGGAAGCCCAUAUAUAUGUGUGUGUGUAUAUAUAUAUCUACAUCUUUUCUCUUGAUCAGAAGUUCGCAUGUGGUAUCCGAAUUAGCAGCGCCAGUUUCCCCCGAGAAAAUGUUAGACAUGCAGAUGGUGGGGCCUCAUCUAGAUCUACUUGAAUCUGAACUCUUGAGAGUGGGAUCUGUGGUUCAACAACCCCUCCAGGUGAUUCCUAUCCACGAUCAAGUUCGCGAAGCACUUGUAAGCUCACUCAAGUGGUGUAGAUGGUCAUCUUUAGGUUUGGCGGAGGAUGUGUCCUGGGUCGCUUUGGGCAGUAGGGAUAAAGUUGCGCAGGUCCCCUCCACCUCUCCCCCUCUCCCCCUAGCCUCUCCCAGCACCUGCAACUCCACUUCAGCUCUUGGCCUCGGGUCCUUUCCCCCGGGAGCCGCAGUCAAAACGCGGCAAGUGGAUUCGGAGUCUGCCUGCCAGAAUGCCGGCCGGGCAUGCGUAGUGGCGCCAGGGCAGCAGCUAGGCUGGCGCGACUGGGGAGCCGCAGAGCAGACUUGCGUGUGCCGGGAUCCGGAGCGGUAGCUGAGGGCUCAAGGGCAGAACGGCGGCUGCAGUUUCCUCAGGCUUCUCUGGUGGCUCAGUGCUAAAGAAUCUGCCUGCCAGUGCAGGAAACAUGGGUUCGCUAUCUGGUGAGGGAAGAUCCUGCAUGCUGUGGAGCAGCUGAGCCCAUGUGCCACAACUAGUGGGUCUGUGCUCCAGAACCCAGGAACUGCGACUACGGAAGCUCACCUCCCACAGCUACUGAAGCGUGUGUGCCCUGAGCCCAUGCUCUGCAACAAGAGAAAAGCCCAUGCAGCAGUGAAGACCCAGCAGAGCCAAAAAUAAAGAAUAAAUAAAUUUUAAAAAGUUAAAAAAAUUUCCUCAUUAAAAGGGAGUCCUCAGGUUGGGGCUAUUCUGGGGAAAGGUGUCACCAUGCACAACAAACUAACUUUAUUAUCAUUUUUUUUUCAAACUAACUUUAAAAAGCAUGUUGAUUAAAAAAAAAUGUGAGUGCACUUGGGAAUUCCUUGAAUUCUGUGCAAUAAACAUUUUUAAAACAAAAAAACAGCAAAAAAAAAAAAAAAAGACCCUAGCUGGGCUGCAUAGAUUGGAGCAGCCCCUCUUGUUCUCUGUCUGAAAAUGGUUCUCUGUUGUUUGAGAACAGCUCUUAAGCACACAGGAGAGCCCCACCUCAGGCUCUUUAUGUUGACACCAUGUUCACUCAUCAAAUGUUUACUGAACACAGUCUGGGCCAGGCACUGAGCUAGGCCCCACAGCCUCUGCCCUCAUAGAAACAGCAGUCUAGACCAAAGGUUGGCAAACUCUGUAAAGGGACAGAUAA
Bos taurus (domestic cattle) is the source of this 1598-nucleotide long non-coding RNA. The record is from Ensembl. NCBI's taxonomy places the organism in Eukaryota, Metazoa, Chordata, Mammalia, Artiodactyla, Bovidae.